RNAcentral lists this transfer RNA (74 nucleotides) under [Phormidium ambiguum] IAM M-71. RNAcentral describes it as "Phormidium ambiguum IAM M-71 tRNA". It matches the Rfam family "tRNA". From Rfam's summary of the family: Transfer RNA (tRNA) molecules are approximately 80 nucleotides in length. Their secondary structure includes four short double-helical elements and three loops (D, anti-codon, and T loops). Further hydrogen bonds mediate the characteristic L-shaped molecular structure. tRNAs have two regions of fundamental functional importance: the anti-codon, which is responsible for specific mRNA codon recognition, and the 3' end, to which the tRNAs corresponding amino acid is attached (by aminoacyl-tRNA synthetases). tRNAs cope with the degeneracy of the genetic code in two manners: having more than one tRNA (with a specific anti-codon) for a particular amino acid; and 'wobble' base-pairing, i.e. permitting non-standard base-pairing at the 3rd anti-codon position. The record is from Rfam by way of RNAcentral. Lineage: Bacteria; Bacillati; Cyanobacteriota; Cyanophyceae; Aerosakkonematales; Aerosakkonemataceae.
ACUCCUGUGGUGCAAUUAGUAGACACGCUAGGUCGAGAGCUUAGUUUUUACAGGUGCAAAUCCUGUCAGGAGUA